GAAACUAUCAUUUGCAGUUGAGGUUUGCUCAGUUCCCGUCAUGGACAUAGGUGGCAGCCGAGAGCACUGUGUUGGACUGGAAACAACUGCAUGAUUUCCUCCACAGCAUACAGCAGCUGAGCUGUACUCACUAUUCUGCUGGAGAAGUCACUGUGUACAUAUGCUACACUUUGACCCGCCUUGCCAUUUAAGUGUGCUUUGCUGACCACUGCCUGCCAGAGCUGCCAUUGACACAAGGAGAGUGAGAGCCUGCAGCGAGCCCAGAUUUGAAGAUCCGUGUAUGCAGAGGAUUGCGGCGGAUUCGGUGGACUACUGCGAUGAACUAGAUUUUUUUUCUUUUAAUAAAAUGGCUAACAAAG
Molecule: long non-coding RNA, 359 nt
Organism: Hyla sarda
Lineage: Eukaryota; Metazoa; Chordata; Amphibia; Anura; Hylidae
Exons: 3
Source: RefSeq, a predicted model, not a curated record